RNAcentral lists this long non-coding RNA (143 nucleotides) under Monodelphis domestica (gray short-tailed opossum). RNAcentral describes it as "lncRNA (ENSMODG00000049426.1)". Lineage: Eukaryota; Metazoa; Chordata; Mammalia; Didelphimorphia; Didelphidae. The record is from RNAcentral.
GCAAAAUAACCAGUAGGGAGCUCAUCAGAGCUCUAUGGCCAAAGAAGACAGGUGGUCUCCACCUCCCUCCACUGAAUGAGAACCAUGGUCCCUCUGACUCCUGGUUCAGGGCUCUGGUCCCUGAGGAGAAAGUUGAAGAGAAG